Long non-coding RNA from Hemicordylus capensis (graceful crag lizard), 655 nucleotides. RefSeq lists it as uncharacterized. The transcript has 3 exons. The record is from RefSeq and is a predicted model, not a curated record. NCBI's taxonomy places the organism in Eukaryota, Metazoa, Chordata, Lepidosauria, Squamata, Cordylidae.
UAACCCUGUAAGAGACCAAGAGAGAAGGUACAACCAUGUUUUCCGCAGAUCAAAGUUACUACACCGUCUUCCUCUUACAUCAACCGAGACACAUCCAAACAAACAUGGCAAAGGUUGGCUGUGGACAUUCAUAGAUCUCAAUGUGGCAUCUAAGUUAGACAGGACACAAGAGAUUUAUCCGCACUGUCCAGCAAAUCUGUCACAGUGGCCACCAGGAGUGAGCUUCUAUCAGAAUUGAGGCCAGGUCAGAAAAGUCUUGCUGGAUGCAAUUAUGAGGUCUCUCCAAAUCUUUAAUGGGUCUGAACUCUACAGCUGCUGCCGCUCAACUCCCUGGAAAACCAGGAACGAAUGUGGAUCCUAGACUAAGACUUUGGCAGGAUAUUCAAAAGGACAAAUAGCAACUGCCCCAGUAGAAGGCAGCGGAUGGCACAAGUGUGAGUGGAGCUCAUUCCAGAUGGUCUUGGGGUGGCAACAGAGAAGGCCCGUCCCUGGGUAGCCACCACCAGAUGAGCUGAUGGAAACUGAAGAUUAACCUCGACUCCGGAUGACCUCAAUGAGCGAUGGGGCUCAUAGUGAAGAAGACGUUCUCUUAAAUACCCAGUGCCUAAGCUGGUUUGGGGCUUUAUAGGUUAUAAACAGCACCUUGUAUUUUGCC